AAAUUGAAGAGUUUGAUCAUGGCUCAGAUUGAACGCUGGCGGCAGGCCUAACACAUGCAAGUCGAACGGUAACAGGAAGCAGCUUGCUGCUUCGCUGACGAGUGGCGGACGGGUGAGUAAUGUCUGGGAAACUGCCUGAUGGAGGGGGAUAACUACUGGAAACGAUAGCUAAUACCGCAUAACGUCGCAAGACCAAAGAGGGGGACCUUC
This 210-nucleotide ribosomal RNA is filed under the name Escherichia coli. Its description in RNAcentral is "partial 16S ribosomal RNA". It matches the Rfam family "Bacterial small subunit ribosomal RNA", at positions 1 to 218 of the family's 1533-position model. Lineage: Bacteria; Pseudomonadati; Pseudomonadota; Gammaproteobacteria; Enterobacterales; Enterobacteriaceae. The record is from RNAcentral.